UUCCCAUACUUGAAAAGCCUCAAGAAAACCUUUUUCUUGUCCUCCUUUGGUCACGGCAACAUCAAGCCACCACAACCCUAUUAUUUUCAUCCAUCAAAUAACCAAUUUCAAGCCUAAGAACUUCAUUUCAAGGUGAUUCAUGGAACUUGUAAGCUUAACGGAUCACUAAGGAGCACUUUGGAGCUUAAUCUUCAUCUAGUUCAUCUACUAGUUUCUUGCAAAGUUAUGAUACUUAUGUUUAUGUUGAUUAUGUUAAAGUCUAGCGGAGUGUAAGGAACUAAUCGGGAGCUUUACGGACCACCGGGAUGCGAAACGGGUCAACCGGGAUCAAGAUAACCAAAAAACGGAAAGUCGGACAUAGGGGUACCAUCGCCGACGCCCUCCUGGGCCGUUGGUGACGCCGUCUGGUGAAUCACGUCGCCCGAAAACCUCUAUAGACAGCAGUUUAAGCCGUCAGACGAAACCCAAAAAUCUGUGCACCGUCGCUGACGCCCAAGGGGGCCGUCGGCGACGCCCCUCCAUUCUCUGAUUCGCGAAUUUUGUUGAUUUGGGUAGUGGGACGAGUUGUAACGGGUUUGGGAGCCAAUUUUCGGGAGUUACGAGUUGGGGAAGGUUAAAACACCAUCUUGGAUCAUCUAAUCCAUAUCUAACCUAUCUCAAAUCACUCCUAACACCCACCAUUCACCUCUAACAUCUAAACCCUAACCAAUUCUCCAUCACCUCUAACCCUAAUCGAUUCCACUAUCAUCGUCACCAUCAUCUUCAUCCUUUCACCUUCACCUUUAAACCCUAAUCUCCAUCACUUCUCUAAGACUCAAAGGUCAUGCUCGGUGUUCGUGCUCGUCUCCCGGUGAUCGCAUCCAUUCAACCAUGAGCGGCUAGUCUCUUCGGUUUCACCCCAGUGUAGAUUGCUGUAAGAUUUCUAGGGUUUAUGCAUUUGUAUUCGAUUUGAUUUUAUGACAAAUUGUUUUGUAUUUGAAACCUUUGAUAAUUAUCUUGCAUUUGUU
RNAcentral lists this long non-coding RNA (1007 nucleotides) under Helianthus annuus (common sunflower). Its description in RNAcentral is "hypothetical non coding rna". Lineage: Eukaryota; Viridiplantae; Streptophyta; Magnoliopsida; Asterales; Asteraceae. The record is from RNAcentral.